GAAAGGCUUUCUGUCUAAAGCCUUUCCAUACUGGUGCUCGAUGUUUUCAGUUUGGGGACACCAAAAUUAGUGUACCGCUAAAGACACGUGGUCGACACGUUGUUGACACGUUGUUGACACUUUGUUGACACGUGACCCAAUUACCGGCCUACCAAGUGCCUUUGGCGACCGCUAACAGCAACUGUGGAACAGUGCAGUGCCCUUUUUUGGAGCAACGUACGAGUAGUGCCCGUGGAUUAUGACCCCGCGACCCCAAUCUACGUGGCGGUCCGCAAUUCGCUACUUCAUACUGACUGGCGUCCGGCAUCGUCCCGAAUUUGGCCACAAUCUGCUCUCGGGACCCCUAUAGGGCUCUCUGACCUGCUCCAUCUCCGCCAUCGUCAAUGUACUGCGCAUCCACCCAGGCCAGGACUGCACUUACUUACGGGAAGGAGUAUUUGCGAGAUGGAACCUGGGAACUGGAAGACGACGAAGAGGAAGCGUGGGAAUCCGGCGGCAAUGGCUGGGAUGUAAGUCCAACAUUGCUGGUUCCAGAGUUGCCACUGCUUGCUUAUAAGGGAAUCAUGUGUGUUGCCUUUUUGCCUUUUCCGCUAACAGCAACUGUGGAACAGUGCAGUGCCCUUUUUUGGAGCAACGUACGAGUAGUGCCCGUGGAUUAUGACCCCGCGACCCCAAUCUACGUGGCGGUCCGCAAUUCGCUACUUCAUACUGACUGGCGUCCGGCAUCGUCCCGAAUUUGGCCACAAUCUGCUCUCGGGACCCCUAUAGGGCUCUCUGACCUGCUCCAUCUCCGCCAUCGUCAAUGUACUGCGCAUCCACCCAGGCCAGGACUGCACUUACUUACGGGAAGGAGUAUUUGCGAGAUGGAACCUGGGAACUGGAAGACGACGAAGAGGAAGCGUGGGAAUCCGGCGGCAAUGGCUGGGAUGACUGAACUUACGGUAAGGAGUGCUUCCAAGAUGGGAGACGAAGAAGAAGAAGCCGCUGAAUCCGGCGGCAAUGGCUGGGAUGCUGCGUUCUCGAGAGGAAGCGUUAUUUCUGCAUUCCAAGAAGGACGGCACAAUGUGUCGGACUGUCCGCGUCGCAUUGAACUGGUCCGAUGAGGCUGCUAUUGCACACACAGUGAGGGAACUCCCAUACGGGAACUCGGAAGUACUGCUACAGUACAGGUAUAUCACCCCGUGACGACCACAUCGAAGUCUGAAAUUGAAGUGUGAAGAUGCUUCAGCAACCCCUUCAUAUUUUUCCAUUGCUUUUAUUGUGCUUCUACUGUGCAUGUGUGUAACCUGUGGGGUAUGCAUGUGAUGACAAUGUAUGCCGGUGACACGGUCAGAUUUUGUCCAUGCGUGUAACGUACACCUGCAUGCUAUCGUUGAAAAG
Sycon ciliatum is the source of this 1380-nucleotide long non-coding RNA. RefSeq lists it as uncharacterized. NCBI's taxonomy places the organism in Eukaryota, Metazoa, Porifera, Calcarea, Leucosolenida, Sycettidae. The transcript is spliced from 5 exons. The record is from RefSeq and is a predicted model, not a curated record.